RNAcentral lists this ribosomal RNA (714 nucleotides) under Grimontia indica. Its description in RNAcentral is "bacterial SSU rRNA". It matches the Rfam family "Bacterial small subunit ribosomal RNA", at positions 347 to 1052 of the family's 1533-position model. The record is from RNAcentral. Lineage: Bacteria; Pseudomonadati; Pseudomonadota; Gammaproteobacteria; Vibrionales; Vibrionaceae.
GGCAGCAGUGGGGAAUAUUGCCCAAUGGGCGCAAGCCUGAUGCAGCCAUGCCGCGUGUGUGAAGAAGGCCUUUCGGGUUGUAAAGCACUUUCAGCCGUGAGGAAGGCAUUGUACUUAAUACGUGCAGUGUUUGACGUUAGCGGCAGAAGAAGCACCGGCUAACUCCGUGCCAGCAGCCGCGGUAAUACGGAGGGUGCGAGCGUUAAUCGGAAUUACUGGGCGUAAAGCGCAUGCAGGCGGUCUGUUAAGCAAGAUGUGAAAGCCCCGGGCUUAACCUGGGAACCGCAUUUUGAACUGGCAGGCUAGAGUCUUGUAGAGGGGGGUAGAAUUUCAGGUGUAGCGGUGAAAUGCGUAGAGAUCUGAAGGAAUACCGGUGGCGAAGGCGGCCCCCUGGACAAAGACUGACGCUCAGAUGCGAAAGCGUGGGGAGCAAACAGGAUUAGAUACCCUGGUAGUCCACGCCGUAAACGAUGUCUACUUGGAGGCUGUAACCUUGAGUUGUGGCUUUCGGAGCUAACGCGUUAAGUAGACCGCCUGGGGAGUACGGUCGCAAGAUUAAAACUCAAAUGAAUUGACGGGGGCCCGCACAAGCGGUGGAGCAUGUGGUUUAAUUCGAUGCAACGCGAAGAACCUUACCUACUCUUGACAUCCAGAGAAGCUUGAAGAGAUUCGAGUGUGCCUUCGGGAACUCUGAGACAGGUGCUGCAUGGCUGU